RNAcentral lists this ribosomal RNA (494 nucleotides) under uncultured bacterium. RNAcentral's name for it is "partial 16S ribosomal RNA". It matches the Rfam family "Bacterial small subunit ribosomal RNA", at positions 30 to 507 of the family's 1533-position model. The record is from RNAcentral.
AUUGAACGCUGGCGGCAUGCUUUACACAUGCAAGUCGAACGGCAGCGGGGAGGAGCUUGCUUCUCUGCCGGCGAGUGGCGAACGGGUGAGUAAUACAUCGGAACGUGUCGAGAAGAGGGGGAUAACCACCCGAAAGGGUGGCUAAUACCGCAUAAAUUCUGAGGAAGAAAGCUGGGGACCUAGGAAUAGGCCUAGCGCUUUUUGAGCGGCCGAUGUCGGAUUAGCUAGUUGGUGAGGUAAAGGCUCACCAAGGCGAAGAUCUGUAGCGGGUCUGAGAGGAUGAUCCGCCAUACUGGGACUGAGACACGGCCCAGACUCCUACGGGAGGCAGCAGUGGGGAAUUUUGGACAAUGGGGGCAACCCUGAUCCAGCCAUGCCGCGUGUAUGAAGAAGGCCUUAGGGUUGUAAAGUACUUUUGUUAGGGAAGAAAAGUCAGCUGUGAAUAAUGGCUGAUACUGACGGUACCUAAAGAAUAAGCACCGGCUAACUACGUG